GGCGCCACAGCGGUGCUGAGCUCAGCUCCUUUCCUCCUGCUGCAUGCUGGGCUGCUACCGGCAUCCACUGCCUCGCGUUCGGCCACGGAAGAGCAUCAUGAUAGAAAAACCUAGCAGAACACAGUUACUCACUAACAGCAACCAGGAAGCAGAGAGGGAUGCAGGAGAGUGCUGGACAAGGUAUUUAUUUCCAGAUCACAACCUCAGUAUUCGCUUUCCUCCGGCUAGGCCUACCUACCAGUUUCUGCCACUGUCUGGAAAAUGCUAUAAUCUGGUUUCACUGAUGGAUUAGUGAGGCCUGGUAACCAAUCAGUUUCUAAAUGUCCCACCUCUGAACUUGGCUGCAUCGGGAACCAGGCCUUUAACAUGCAACCCUUUUGGAGGAAUACUUUAUAUUUAAACAAUGACAAAAGCCAAGGUUACAGGGGGAAGCCAUGAGUCUGAAUCAUAGCACAACCACAACUGUAUCCAUGAAAAAAUAAGAAAAGCACAAGACCCCGAGUUCAAGCCCCAGGGGCCCACAGAAAAAAGCCAGACACAGUGGCAUGGACUGUAAUCCCAGCACUGGGAGAAUAAGAGCCAGGCAGAUCCCUAAAGCUCACUGGCCAGUCCACCUAGCCUGCUUGGUGAGUUCUUGGCCAAUGAGAAACCUUGUCUCAAAAAAUAAAAAAAUGAAAAUAAAUAAAUAAAUAAAUAAAAUUUAAAAAUGAAUAAUGUUUCUGUAGUAAAACACCAGAGGAUGCCCUGUGGUUACAACAAGCACAUACACACACAUCUGCACACAUGACCACUUGCACAGGAACGCACACACACACAAAGAGCAGAUAUCAAGGUAGUAAAUAUUUUCAUCAAAUCUAACAUCAGCUUAAUAGUCUAUAAAAAAUAUCUGAUAUGAGUGAACUUUUAGUUGUUUUUGGUUUGUUUUUGGUUUUUUUUUUUUUUUUUUUUUUUUUUUUUAACAGUUUUUGCCUGAGUUUAUUUGUAGAAACAGCAUAGGACACCGGUCAUCUGCAAAUAGUGUGUGGGGAGGUAUGUCACAGCAGUCUGUCUGUCUUCACACUGGCAGGAGCCUUUUCUAUGGGGCCUUCACAGGGGCCUGGGCACCUUUGGGAGCCUGGGCUGGAGCUGAAGCCUGGGUCUUAGCUGGAGCUUUGGCCUCUGCCUUGGUUUGAACCUUGGGCUUUGGUUGGCAGAGCCUUUGACCCUUGGCCACGUAGCUUCGAAUCUGCUUCCCAAGCUUGGGGUGAGCGAUGAAAGCCAGACGGCUAAGUUUGCAGCAUCUUGGACUUGACGGCCUGAGGCUUCUCCAGGGCCUUGACGGCCUCUGCGCGCGCACUCACUGCCUUUGCAUUGCUGGCCUGCAUCUUCUUCAGGCCUUUCUUGGUGUGCAUCUUGGCAAAGCGCAUGUUCCUCAGGAACUUGGGGUCAACCCCCUUAAGAGAUUCGUAGCUUUGCGACCGGGGUUUCUUGAUGCCAUUUCUGUGCCAUUUUCGGGACUGGUUGUGUGUGGUGUGGUUCUUGGACUUGGCCGUGUCUGCAUGGUAACCCGCGGCUCCCCUUUUAUUGGUUUUUCGAGACAGGGUUUCUCUGAAUAACCCUGGCUGUCCUAAAACUCACUCUGUAGACCAGGCUGGCCUCGAACUCAGAAAUCCUCCUGCCUCUGCCUCCCAAGUGCUGGGAUUAAAGGCGUGUGCCACCACUGUCCGGUGUUUGUUGUUUUUAUUUUAUUUUAUUUUAUUUUAUUUUAUUGAGACAGUUUCUCUGUGUAACAGCUCUGGCUGUCUUGGAACUCACCUUGUAGAUGGGCCAUCCCCAAACUCAAAACAGUCUCAAACUCAACAAAGAUCUGCCAGCCUCUGCCACCCCCCUCCCCAAGUGCCAGGAUAAAAGGUGUACACCUUCACCUGGCCAUGCAUGAACUUUUAUAGAACAAAGAUGAUUAGACCCCUAAGAGGUUAACAGGUAACUGGUAUACAAUAAUUUACUAGGAUCCCAAAACAUGACAAUUUAGUCCCAGCGCUGGGGAGGCAGGGGUUGGUGGAUCUUGGAGUUCAAGGCAGCUGGUCUACAGAUGGAGUUCCAGAACGGCUGGGGCUUUACAGAAAAACUCUGUCUCAAAAUAAUAAUAUUAAUAAUGAUGAUGAUGAUGAAAAAUAUUUUUUUCAUAAAAGCAGAGAAAGCAUGCCCAUUCAUGAGGAAGCCUGUACCUAUGAUUAUAUUCUCCGUUAACUGAAGGCAUUUUAGAAUAUGAUAUCUGGUAUUUACUUCAGAAUAACAAAAAGAAAGGGCUGUGGGUGAUCCAGUUUUUGAUGAACAUGGUGAGGGGCGCAGACUUCUCAAACUCACCCUGCUUUAAUGCAGAAUUUGAUGUUUUCUAUAGGAAAAAAAAAUCCUGAAAUUUGCAUUUUGUGAUUAAAUCGGUGUGCUUAAAAAAAAAAAAACAAAAACAAAAAGAAGAGAAUAUGGUCAAAAUUCAAAAUUGAUGAAACUUUUUUGGGGGGGGGUUCGAGACAGGGUUUCUCUGUAUAGCUCUGGAACUCAUUUUGUAGACCAGGCUGGCCUCAAACUCAGAAAUCCGCCUGCCUCUGCCUCCCGAGUGCUGGGAUUAAAGGCGUGCGCCACCAGGGCUGGCUCCUGAUGAGACUUAAUAAUCCAUAGAAUCUUCAACACUCAGACAGCAGCAAAGGCAGGCAGAUCUCUGCGUUCAAGCCAAACCUAGUGUAUAAAUCAAAUUCCAGGAUAGCCAGAGCUACAUAAAGACCUCAGAAUAAAACAAACACACAGACACAUGUUCAACAAACUCCGCACAUAAAACAAGGAGAGUACCUAGAUAUAUCAUAUAAUUGACAUGUCAUAAACUUUAAAAAUCUAGUGAUAAAGCCAGGAGGCUCCUUCCCCCUCCCCUCCCCCCGGGUUCACUACAGGAACAGAACAGAGAGUAACAAUUCAGGCUGACUCUGAACUCACUAAAUAGCCUAUUCGAAUCUACACGUAUGUCUCCUCCCAAGUGCUGGUAUUAUAGUCACACAGCACCCUGGCUGGCUGCCUUCAUUUUCCUUCUUUUUCUUUUUAUUAUUGUUUUUGAGAAAGGGUCUUACAGAACCUUGACUGGCAUGGAGUGCCUACCUAGACCAGGCGAGCCUCAAACAGAGUCCCCUGCCUCUGCUCCUAUGGACUGGGAUUAAAGAAGUGUCCCUACCAUCACUGACCUUUUAAAAUUGUUUUGCUUUUGAGACUGGGUUUCUUUUUUGUAGCCCCGCUGUCCUGGAACUCCCUCUCUAAACCAGGCUGUCCUUAAACUCAGAGAGAUCUGUCUGGCUCUGCUUCCUGAGUGCUGGGAUUAAAGGCGUGCGCGACCAUGCCCGGCGAGACCCUGUCUUUUAAAAAAAAGUGUCUACCAUGACUGAAGCUUCUCAAAUGUGCUCUCUAGUGAACCCAGAUGAAUACACUAUGUGUAAAAAAAAAAAAAUGUCGGGAUGAAACCCAUUAUUAUGGAUAAUUGCUAUAUGCUAAUAAAAACAGAGUGCCCAUCACAGAUAAAUGUAUAAACAACAGAGAUUGCUAGUGAUAUAGGUUAACUAUAAAAGACACUCUGUGCACAGGAGGCCUUGGGUUCAAUUCCCAGGAUUUUAAAUGAAUGAAUAAUAAAAUUGAUAAGUAAAA
This is a long non-coding RNA of Mus musculus (house mouse), 3663 nucleotides long. RefSeq annotates it as predicted gene, 46533. NCBI's taxonomy places the organism in Eukaryota, Metazoa, Chordata, Mammalia, Rodentia, Muridae. The transcript is spliced from 2 exons. The record is from RefSeq and is a predicted model, not a curated record.